AUGGGAGGAGGAGGAGCACCUCGCCGUCGAGGCACAGCUUGCCGCGGAGCAUGCUCACGUUGCUGCCGUCGCCAUCCUUCACACUGUUCCGAACGUGGUGGUAGAGCACCUUACCACCGAGCGCCAAGCACCUCGCCACCCUUCACACUGAUCCGGUUGUCACGAACCUCGAUGACAACAACAACGACAACGGCGAAGAGCCAGAGAAGCCUAGGGGCAACCAUGAAGAUGAGGCAUCAGGGUUCAAAACCUUUGUUGUGCUCCAUGCUCAUAUAUAGAUGUUAUUUUUUAUUGUCGUAUUGCUUUGCAUGA
This 312-nucleotide ribosomal RNA is filed under the name Triticum aestivum (bread wheat). RNAcentral describes it as "partial small subunit ribosomal RNA". The record is from RNAcentral. Lineage: Eukaryota; Viridiplantae; Streptophyta; Magnoliopsida; Poales; Poaceae.